UACGUAGGGCGCAAGCGUUGUCCGGAAUUAUUGGGCGUAAAGAGCUCGUAGGCGGUUUGUCGCGUCUGCUGUGAAAGCCCGGGGCUCAACCCCGGGUCUGCCAGGUGGGUACGGGCAGGACUAGAGUGCAGGUAGGGGAGACUGGAAUUCCGUGGUGUAGGCGGUGAAAUGCGCAGAUAUCAGGAGGACACCGAUGGCGAAGGCAGGAU
Molecule: ribosomal RNA, 209 nt
Filed under: uncultured bacterium
Lineage: Bacteria
Description: partial 16S ribosomal RNA
Rfam family: Bacterial small subunit ribosomal RNA
Source: RNAcentral